This 68-nucleotide transfer RNA is filed under the name Tarentola mauritanica (Moorish gecko). RNAcentral describes it as "tRNA-Pro". It matches the Rfam family "tRNA". From Rfam's summary of the family: Transfer RNA (tRNA) molecules are approximately 80 nucleotides in length. Lineage: Eukaryota; Metazoa; Chordata; Lepidosauria; Squamata; Phyllodactylidae. The record is from RNAcentral.
CAGAAAAUAGUUUAACGUAAAGAUAUUAGUUUUGGGGACUAACGAUGGGAAUUGAUUCUCUUUUCUGA